UCAAACUUGGUCAUUUAGAGGAAGUAAAAGUCGUAACAAGGUUUCCGUAGGUGAACCUGCGGAAGGAUCAUUAACAGGAAACGGUGCCCUCGCGGCCCGAUCCUCACACCCCUGUGUACCAAACAAACCGUUGCCUCGGCGGGCUGGCGGCUGGGCUAACGCCCGGACGCCCCUCUUCGACUACCCCCUAGGGGGCGGUCGAGGCAGGCAGCCGCCCGCCAAAGGCCCCUUUAAAAACCAUUCUGUUCCACGAACGUCUGAUAUUAUCUUCGCUAAUGCGAUAAAUACAACUUUUAACAAUGGAUCUCUUGGCUCCGGCAUCGAUGAAGAACGCAGC
RNAcentral lists this unclassified non-coding RNA (337 nucleotides) under uncultured fungus. RNAcentral's name for it is "partial contains small subunit ribosomal RNA, internal transcribed spacer 1, and 5.8S ribosomal RNA". The stretch from base 1 to 73 matches the Rfam family "Eukaryotic small subunit ribosomal RNA", at positions 1759 to 1831 of the family's 1831-position model. The record is from RNAcentral. Lineage: Eukaryota; Fungi.